This is a long non-coding RNA of Corvus hawaiiensis (hawaiian crow), 511 nucleotides long. RefSeq lists it as uncharacterized. The record is from RefSeq and is a predicted model, not a curated record. The transcript has 3 exons. NCBI's taxonomy places the organism in Eukaryota, Metazoa, Chordata, Aves, Passeriformes, Corvidae.
UCUUGUAAACAACUUGAACCCUUCACUCCUGAAAUUUGAAACUACAUCUCCAGAUAACCCAUAACCUCAUGUUCUUGCUUAAAAUCCAUGCUGGCAGAGGGGAGAGUCUGAGGCUGUGAGAAUCCUGCUGGGGAGAGGGCUGGCUGUUCCUGGGAGAGAGAGAGAACUCAGUCAAAGAUUGGAAUACCCUGUCUAAACAACGGUGCUUCCUCUCAUUCACAGGCCUCGCUGUCUAUACAUGUUGCAGAAAUCCCCGUUGCAACAAAUUGUGCGAUUGCGGGCAACAUAACGAUUCCCUGGAGUCAGCGACUGUGAAAUGAUCAAGAUUUUGAAGAUCCCCAAAAAUUCGUGAGUAAAGAAACUCUCUGGAUCUCUCUUCUUGCUUUUGUUUUGCUGUUCCAUAAACUAUGGAGGAACUGUGGAAAGACUCGUGGCUCUCCAAGCUGCAAAGGGACAUUUAUCUUAAACUUGAAAAGAUUCUUGAACAAUGAUAUGUAAAUUUUAGCUUAAU